Molecule: ribosomal RNA, 397 nt
Filed under: uncultured bacterium
Lineage: Bacteria
Description: partial 16S ribosomal RNA
Rfam family: Bacterial small subunit ribosomal RNA
Source: RNAcentral
CUACGUAGGGGGCGAGCGUUGUCCGGAAUGAUUGGGCGUAAAGGGCGCGUAGGCGGCGCGGUAAGUCUGGAGUGAAAGUCCUGCUUUCAAGGUGGGAAUUGCUUUGGAUACUGCCGCGCUUGAGUGCAGGAGAGGUUAUCGGAAUUCCCGGUGUAGCGGUGAAAUGCGUAGAGAUCGGGAGGAACACCAGUGGCGAAGGCGGGUAACUGGACUGCAACUGACGCUGAGGCGCGAAAGUGUGGGGAGCAAACAGGAUUAGAUACCCUGGUAGUCCACACCGUAAACGAUGAAUGCUAGGUGUAAGAGGUAUCGACCCCUUUUGUGCCGGAGUCAACACAAUAAGCAUUCCGCCUGGGGAGUACGGCCGCAAGGUUGAAACUCAAAGGAAUUGACGGGG